AUCUGACAACUCCCCCGACCUGCUGGGCACUGAAGCCUCUGCUGCGGGGGUUGCCGGUGCCACUUCCCCUCUCCACAGCCGUGCGGUGCCCAGCUUAGCUCACGUUCACAGUUCUUUCAGCAGAUGUAGCCGUGGACAGCAGCCUGGUUACAGUGGGAUGUGCAGCUGGCCGACCCCCUCUAGCCAUCCUGCAAGUCACUGUGAACGCCCUCACGCUCCAACAGCAAAGCCACUGCUCAGAAAGAGGCUGGGCUCCUGCACACCUGCCAGCGAUGGCUACCCGUGUCCAUCCUGUUCACUGAAGGGGAGCGGCUCCUGGAGGGUGAAGCCGCUGUGGUUUGAGGGUGAAGCCACUGUCGUUUGAGCCCUCGGCCCGGACGCAGCUGAUGCACCAGCCACAGAAGCACGGAGGAGUCAAGAAUGGGAAGGACAGAAACGGUUCCUGACCUCGGGAGCUGGAGGUUGAGUGGGUUGGUCUAAAAACCAACUGAAUAGUAAAUGGGUGAAUUAGCAUAAUGACGAAUGCAUAUCGAUCAGUGUUUCAGAAAACUGCAUGCUUUUCAUCACCAGUUUUGAUUGAUGACGAGGUUAUGUAAGCAAUUACUCAGAAUGAUCACAAGUCGUGAUUAUGCUAGGAAGGGGAGCGUGAAGGGUGCCGUGCUUGAGACUGGAUGGGACGCGGCCCGGGGAGAGGAGGCUCUGGGGGCUUUGAGAAGCGACGGGGCCAUAGGGCGGAGCGGGCCUGGGCUGCAGGGGAGGAAGCAGCAGGGGCCUCGGGCCCGCGGGAGCUGGGCAGGGAUGGAGGCUCUGCAGGGAGGAGGAGGGAGGCUUGCGGCCUUCCCAGGGCCACGGGCCAGGAGGGGGAGGCGGCCGGGCUGGGUCAGAGCCGAGGAGAGGGCGGCAUCGGGAGCUGUUCUCAGAGGGGCCGAGUGACAGGAGGCCGUUUCUGGGUCUGGGUUCUCACCGUAAAAGAAGACGGUAGAACACAGUUCUCAACACGGGCCUCCUGCUCGGAGGUGAUGUGAUUCAGACCGCGGCUCCAGGGUCUCCAAAAUUUCCGCGUAACCAGGAACCGCAGGUCGAAGGCCAGUACCGCAUCCAACACCGCCAUCUGCUGGUGAGCGGGAAACAUGACGCCUCGGGGCCAAAUGGGAAGAGCACGUUCAGGAUAUUGGAUUAGAGAAAUAUCAAACUACUUUAAAUUCCAUCACAGCUGUCAAAACCAAACUGGGGAUGUAAAGAAUUUUUCAGCUCAUUGUAUUCUAUUUACAUUGCGCACACACAAUAAAUGCUUGCUAGAGCA
Homo sapiens (human) is the source of this 1303-nucleotide long non-coding RNA. NCBI's taxonomy places the organism in Eukaryota, Metazoa, Chordata, Mammalia, Primates, Hominidae. The record is from Ensembl.